RNAcentral lists this ribosomal RNA (1452 nucleotides) under Pseudomonas aeruginosa. RNAcentral's name for it is "bacterial SSU rRNA". It matches the Rfam family "Bacterial small subunit ribosomal RNA". Lineage: Bacteria; Pseudomonadati; Pseudomonadota; Gammaproteobacteria; Pseudomonadales; Pseudomonadaceae. The record is from RNAcentral.
GGCUCAGAUUGAACGCUGGCGGCAGGCCUAACACAUGCAAGUCGAGCGGAUGAAGGGAGCUUGCUCCUGGAUUCAGCGGCGGACGGGUGAGUAAUGCCUAGGAAUCUGCCUGGUAGUGGGGGAUAACCCGGAAACGGGCGCUAAUACCGCAUACGUCCUGAGGGAGAAAGUGGGGGAUCUUCGGACCUCACGCUAUCAGAUGAGCCUAGGUCGGAUUAGCUAGUUGGUGGGGUAAAGGCCUACCAAGGCGACGUCGUAACUGGUCUGAGAGGAUGAUCAGUCACACUGGAACUGAGACACGGUCCAGACUCCUACGGGAGGCAGCAGUGGGGAAUAUUGGACAAUGGGCGAAAGCCUGAUCCAGCCAUGCCGCGUGUGUAAAAGGUCUUCGGAUUGUAAAGCACUUUAAGUUGGGAGGAAGGGCAGUAAGUUAAUACCUUGCUGUUUUGACGUUACCAACAGAAUAAGCACCGGCUAACUUCGUGCCAGCAGCCGCGGUAAUACGAGGUGCAAGCGUUAAUCGGAAUUACUGGGCGUAAAGCGCGCGUAGGUGGUUCAGCAAGUUGGAUGUGAAAUCCCCGGGCUCAACCUGGGAACUGCAUCCAAAACUACUGAGCUAGAGUACGGUAGAGGUGUGGAAUUUCCUGUGUAGCGGUGAAAUGCGUAGAUAUAGGAAGGAACACCAGUGGCGAAGGCGACCACCUGGACUGAUACUGACACUGAGGUGCGAAAGCGUGGGGAGCAAACAGGAUUAGAUCCCUGUAGUCCACGCCGUAAACGAUGUCGACUAGCCGUUGAGAUCUUAGUGGCGCAGCUAACGCGAUAAGUCGACCGCCUGGGGAGUACGGCCGCAAGGUUAAAACUCAAAUGAAUUGACGGGGGCCGCACAGCGGUGGAGCAUGUGGUUUAAUUCGAAGCAACGCGAAGAACCUUACCUGGCCUUGACAUGCUGAGAACUUUCCAGAGAUGGAUUGGUGCCUUCGGGAACUCAGACACAGGUGCUGCAUGGUGUCGUCGCUCGUGUCGUGAGAUGUUGGGUUAAGUCCCGUAACGAGCGCAACCCUUGUCCUUAGUUACCAGCACCUCGGGUGGGCACUCUAAGGAGACUGCCGGUGACAAACCGGAGGAAGGUGGGAUGACGUCAGUCAUCAUGGCCCUUACGGCCAGGGCUACACACGUGCUACAAUGGUCGGUACAAAGGGUUGCCAAGCCGCGAGGUGGAGCUAAUCCCAUAAAACCGAUCGUAGUCCGGAUCGCAGUCGCAACUCGAUGCGUGAAGUCGGAAUCGCUAGUAAUCGUGAAUCAGAAUGUCACGGUGAAUACGUUCCCGGGCCUUGUACACACCGCCCGUCACACCAUGGGAGUGGGUUGCUCCAGAAGUAGCUAGCUAACCGCAAGGGGACGGUUACCACGGAGUGAUUCAUGACUGGGGUGAAGUCGUAACAAGGUUAA